CCCAUUAUUUGCUUUUUUUUUUUGAACAGCCAGACACUCACCAUUCAAGUUCUUCCCUUUUCACCUCAUCCCCAGCUUGUUGCCGUCGAAUCUCAUCCACGGCAGAGUCGGCGCAGCUAGUCCCCGCCGCCCGCCGGGAUCUGAGCCACCCUCAACCGAAGGCCAAUAUAAAGGUGUACAAAGACUAUUUCGGCGUGCAUUUAGAAUAUCCCGAACUUGUUUUGAGCGGGUUAUUUUCACAUGUAACCCGCAUCGGGAAUCAGGUAGGGAAGAAAGAGAAAAAAAAGAAGAGACGCUUGAUUUAUCUGCUGCGUCUCUUCUGCUGUCGUGACGUGGAUCGCGAUCAAGAAACGUUACCGGGUAUUGGGUUUCUCCAAUUUUCUCUCUUUUGGGCUGGCAAACCAUUUGUGAAGUUUCCAAGGGCGUUAUUAUUAUUUAGUUAUGGAGGAACAACAGCAGUAGAAGAAGAAUAAGUACAGCAUCAUCGUCCCCACUGAGGUGGAGUCCGUGUUGUUUAGCCAUCAAAGGUGGGUGGUUUCGAAGUGGGGACUUGGGGCGUGAAACACCCUGAUGGGUAUAUAGAACUAAAGGAUCGGUCAAAGGACAUUAUCAUAUUGGGAGGAGAGAAUAUAAGCACGAUUGAGGUGGAGUCCGUGUUGUUUAGCCAUCCAGCGGUUCUUGAGGUUGCAGUUGGUUCUUGAGGUUGCAGUUGUUGGUAGGCCCGACGAUCACUGGGGUGAAACGCCUUGUGCAUUUGUGAAGUUGAAGGAUGGAUGUAACAUGAGCAGCGCUGAGAUUAUUAAGUACUAUCGCGAUCUUUUGCCUCAUUACAUGGCUCCGAGGACUGUUGUUUUCGAGGAUUUGCCAAAAACAUCAACUGGAAAGACACAGAAGUUUGUUCUCAGGGGGAAAGCUAAAGCUAUGGGGAGCCUCACAAGGAGGAGCACCAGCAAUUGUAAAGCUACUUCUUUGGGUUGCUAAAUAUUGAAGUACAUGGCUGUUCAAAGCUCUUGCAUGUUGUAUUGUUUGUCCAGACCUUCUGCUGCCUUUGUCCAUUACCAUAAAAGCAAGAAGUAAAUAAAUUGUUGAUUCGACUGCA
Long non-coding RNA from Rhododendron vialii, 1099 nucleotides. RefSeq lists it as uncharacterized. The record is from RefSeq and is a predicted model, not a curated record. The transcript has 2 exons. Lineage: Eukaryota; Viridiplantae; Streptophyta; Magnoliopsida; Ericales; Ericaceae.